Long non-coding RNA from Sorghum bicolor (sorghum), 611 nucleotides. RefSeq lists it as uncharacterized. Lineage: Eukaryota; Viridiplantae; Streptophyta; Magnoliopsida; Poales; Poaceae. The transcript has 3 exons. The record is from RefSeq and is a predicted model, not a curated record.
AGAAAAAUGCUUUUUUCAAGGUGAAACUUUGAGCCACGAGAUGCAGUUUUGUGUCUCUCACACAUGCUUUAAUAAAUGGCUUGUGAUAUUCUUAUCAUUACUAUUCAUGCCGUUGGUGAAGGAUGCAAGGAAAAGAGGUUUCCGACAACAAUCCUUGCUGGAUUUCGUCUUAUUCUUGGUUCAGAUGGCAAACAGUUCCCAUUGGUUUGGGAUGCAACAAAUAUAUGAUCGAGCAGUAUGCAAAUGGAAUGUGCAAGCACUCUAUUCUAUCAACUCAUGAUUGCUGGAGCGAACUCUGGUUGUAACUUGUGAUUUGUCUGUAUUCCAUGUUCUGACAAAAUUAUUAGUUUUGGUUUUUGCUGAUAUCCUGCAUGGAUCUUGGCCUGAGUAAGAUAGGAGUAACAUCCUUGGGCUUAAAAUCAUGGGAUUUUAUUAUAAAGGCAACAUAUUUUACUAAUAAAAGUUUUCUCUUCUGUAUUGCAUGGACUUGCUUCAUCUGUAGAACAUGCCUUUGGUAUUUUGUCAACCCUUUCUUCAUUGGUGAUCUUCACAUGUAUAUGCAAUGACUGCUUGCUGAGCAUGCAUGCCCUAAAUCCUGGUCAACUAAACUU